Non-coding RNA from Pseudomonas putida S11, 397 nucleotides. The record is from Rfam. Lineage: Bacteria; Pseudomonadati; Pseudomonadota; Gammaproteobacteria; Pseudomonadales; Pseudomonadaceae.
ACAAGAACAAUAACAAGCAACUGCAACUCAGAAUAAGAACAAGACGAAACGGCUCACGCACAAUAAAAACAAGACGGCGGAGGCGCAGCUAACUGAUUCUUUUGGAGAGGAUGCGUGUUUGGGGCUUGCCCCACAACCAGGCAGAGAACAAUAAAAACUGCACUAAAAAGCAGCGCCUGAACUGGUUGGAUCGACAGAUCAACGUGACAUCAGCGACCAAAGCAAUCCGUUUGCUCUUAACCCCUGGAUUGGGGGUCGUCCACAAGCUUCGAGAUUUGUGGACAGGGCACUCAACAAAAACAAGAAGCCCAGCAGAAAAACAAUAAGAGCACGCAACGACUUCUUGGGGAGCUUAGGCUCCCCUUGUCGUUUCUACCCUUCUGGCAGGCAUCCUGCU